RNAcentral lists this long non-coding RNA (361 nucleotides) under Lupinus mutabilis. Its description in RNAcentral is "partial ncRNA". The record is from RNAcentral. Lineage: Eukaryota; Viridiplantae; Streptophyta; Magnoliopsida; Fabales; Fabaceae.
AGAAACAUUCAACCAAAACAAUGUUAACCGUUUCUAACGGUAAUAAAGAAAAAGAAAACUACAAAAGAAAAACAAAAAAGGAAAGAUUGGCCAAAGUGACUAACGGAUGACCUAAAGAUAGCGCAACAUAACAGCGCAUCAUAAAGACAGCGCUGCGCAACAUAACACCAACGCAACAUAACAACAGCGCUGUUGUUAAAUACAUCGCAACAUAAAGACAGCGCAUCAUAAGACAGCACAACAUAACAACAGCGCUGUGCAACAUAAGACAACGCAACAUAACAGUGCAACAUAACAACAGCGCAACAUAACAGCGCAACAUAACAACAGCGCAACAUAACAGCGCAACAUAACAACAGCG